UGUGUCGGACCCUCCCCGGGGCCUCGGAGCCGCGCGGUCUUGCCUGAUUGGGGUCUGCAGCGCGGAAAACGUGGCAGGCCAUCUGCGACUCCGGGUCGUCGGGCUGCGCCUUGAUCAGGUUUCUCAAGAGGCAGGUCAGGUCGUCUGGUAUUCCCACCUGGAAAGCCCCAUAAAGAACAUAGUAACCAUGGUUAAUAAACAAGAGAGAAGUACCAGCACUCAACCUGAUGAAGUCAUCUGAGGAGGCUCAUCUCUUCAACAACUCUCCAGGAACACGCAUGCUCACUGCAGCCACUACAAUCCCAAUAGCAGCAGCCAGCUGAAAGCCAGCAAUUUUCAGUGUGAAAUAUAAAUCCUGCCACUUACUGCCCAUAUAAGGACAAAUAAAGCAGAAAAUUGACAAAACACACACACACACAAAAACACAAAACUUUAUCCCAGUGCAGAUUCGCAACAGCUGCAAAGUUGUCUCCAUCAUAUCCAAAUACAGACCCGUGUAGGAACCAAAAGCCAAUAUAUCUGCCCAGCCCCAUCCACACCCAACACACACUGGUGGGACAGAGACAGGAAAACAUAAGGAACAAACUGCCUCUUACUUGAUUGCCUACUUACUUAUUUGAAAGAUGAACGGGAGACACAGCUCUCCUGAUCCACAGCAGUGAUGAAAUCCUGCCAGGAAGGAAUUAUGAAGACCUCCUGCCCAAGAUCACGUAACUAACUCAGUUUCUUCAGUUUUAAAGAACAGAUAAUAAAUUCUCCACUCUACCACA
Bubalus bubalis (water buffalo) is the source of this 770-nucleotide long non-coding RNA. RefSeq lists it as uncharacterized. The record is from RefSeq and is a predicted model, not a curated record. Lineage: Eukaryota; Metazoa; Chordata; Mammalia; Artiodactyla; Bovidae. The transcript is spliced from 3 exons.